This 423-nucleotide ribosomal RNA is filed under the name uncultured bacterium. Its description in RNAcentral is "bacterial SSU rRNA". It matches the Rfam family "Bacterial small subunit ribosomal RNA", at positions 355 to 775 of the family's 1533-position model. The record is from RNAcentral.
UAAGGAAUAUUGGUCAAUGGACGCAAGUCUGAACCAGCCAUGCCGCGUGGAGGAUGAAGGUCCUCUGGAUUGUAAACUUCUUUUAUCUGGGACGAAAAAAGGUUUUUCUAGACCGACUGACGGUACCAGAUGAAUAAGCACCGGCUAACUCCGUGCCAGCAGCCGCGGUAAUACGGAGGGUGCAAGCGUUAUCCGGAUUCACUGGGUUUAAAGGGUGCGUAGGUGGAUUGGUAAGUCAGUGGUGAAAUCUCCGAGCUUAACUCGGAAACUGCCAUUGAUACUAUCAGUCUUGAAUACCGUGGAGGUCAGUAGAAUAUGUCAUGUAGCGGUGAAAUGCUUAGAUAUGACAUAGAAUACCAAUUGCGAAGGCAGCUGGCUACACGAGCAUUGACACUCAGGCACGAAAGCGUGGGGAUCAAACAG